GAUGAACGCUGGCGGCGUGCUUAAUACAUGCAAGUCGAGCGAACAGACGAGGAGCUUGCUCUUCUGACGUUAGCGGCGGACGGGUGAGUAACACGUGGAUAACCUACCUAUAAGACUGGGAUAACUUCGGGAAACCGGAGCUAAUACCGGAUAAUAUAUUGAAUCGCAUGGUUCAAUAGUGAUAUACGGUUUUGCUGUCACUUAUAGAUGGAUCCGCGCCGCAUUAGCUAGUUGGUAAGGUAACGGCUUACCAAGGCGACGAUGCGUAGCCGACCUGAGAGGGGGAUCGGCCACACUAGAGCGGAGACACGGUCCGGACUCCUACGGGAGGCAACAGUAGGGAGUCUUCCGCAAUGGGCGAAAGCCUGACGGGGCAACGCCGCGUGAGUGAUGAAGGUCUUCGGAUCGUAGAACUCUGUUAUUAGGGAAGAACAAAUGUGUAAGUAACUAUGCACGUCUUGACGGUACCUAAUCAGAAAGCCACGGCUAACUACGUG
RNAcentral lists this ribosomal RNA (497 nucleotides) under uncultured bacterium. RNAcentral's name for it is "partial 16S ribosomal RNA". It matches the Rfam family "Bacterial small subunit ribosomal RNA", at positions 28 to 507 of the family's 1533-position model. The record is from RNAcentral.